This 1791-nucleotide long non-coding RNA is filed under the name Homo sapiens (human). RNAcentral describes it as "HSALNT0400307". Lineage: Eukaryota; Metazoa; Chordata; Mammalia; Primates; Hominidae. The record is from RNAcentral.
GGACAUCUGAAACUUGUGACGCAGCAGUGUGUUACCUGCCGACAGCAUAAUGUGAGGCAAGGUCUAGCUGUUCCCCCCCGGCAUACAAGCUUAUAGAGCAGCCUCCUUUGAAGAUCUCCAGGUGGACUUCACAGAGAUGCCAAAGUGUGGAGGUGUUCGAGUGUGGAUCAAGGACUGGAACGUAGCCUCUUUGUGCCCAUGGUGGAAAGGACCCCAGACUGUCGUCCUGAUCACUCCCACUGCUGUGAACGUAGAGAGAAUCCUAGCCUGGAUCCAUCACAACCGUGUAAAACCUGCAGCGCCUGAAUCCUGGGAGGCAAGACCAAGUCUGGACAACCCCUGCAGAGUGACCCUGAAGAAGAUGACAAGCCCUGCUCCAGUCACACCCAGAAGCUGACUGGUCCACGCACAGCCGAAGCAUGAGGAAGCUCAUUGUGGGCUUCAUUUUUCUUAAAUUUUGGACUUACAGUAAGGGCUUCAACUGUUCUUACUCAAACUGGGGACUAUUCCCAGUGUAUUCAUCAGGUCAGUGAGGUAGGACAGCAAAUGAAAACAAUCUUUCUGUUCUAUAGUUAUUAUCAAUGUAUGGGAACGUUAAAAGAGACUUGUUUGUAUAAUGCCACUCAGUACAAGGUAUGUAGCCCAGGAAAUGACUGACCUGAUGUGUGUUAUAACCCAUCUGAGCCCCCUACAACCACCAGUUUUGAAAUAAGAUUAAGAACUGGCCUUUUCCUAGGUGAUACAAGUGAAAUAAUAACUAGAACAGAAGAAAAAGGAAUCCCCAAACAAGUAACUUUAAGAUUUGACGCUUGUGCAGCCAUUAAUAGUAACAAGCUAGGAACAGGAUGUGGUUCUCUUAACUGGGAAAGGAGCUACAGAGUAGAAAAUAAAUAUGUUUGUCAUGAGUCAGGGGUUUGUGAAAAUUGUGCCUUUUGGCCAUGUGUUAUUUAGGCUACUUGGAAAAAGAACAAAAAGGACUUGGUUCAUCUUCAGAAAGGGGAAGCCAACCCCUCCUGUGCUGCCAGUCACUGUAACCCACUAGAACUAAUAAUUACCAAUCCCCUAGAUCCCCAUUGGAAAAAGGGAGAAUGUGUAACCCUGGGGAUCAAAGGGACAGGGUUAAACCCCCAAGUUGCCAUUUUAGUUCAAGGGGAGGUCCACAAGCACUCUCCCAAACCAGUGUUUCAAACCUUUUAUGAGGAGUUAAAUCUGCCAGCACCAGAACUUCUGAAAAAGAUAAAAAAUUUGUUUCUCCAAUUAGCAGAAAAUGUAGCUCAUUCCCUUAAUGUUACUUCUUGUUAUAUAUGCGGGGGAACCACUAUCAGAGACCGAUGGCCUUGGGAAGCCUGAGAGUUGGUGCCCACUGAUCCAGCUCCUGAUAUAAUGGGGGCUUGUCCAGGAUCUCAUCAGGACUGGAUGGCUCUCGCUGGACUAUACUGGAUAUGUGGGCAGAGAGCCUACAUUCAGUUACCUAAUGAAUGGGCAGACAGUUGUGUUAUUGGCACUAUUAAGCCAUCCUUUUUCUUAUUACCGAUAAAAACUACUGGUACUAUCUGUAAAUUCCAGACAUUGUAUGAGAAAGCACUGUAAAACUUUUUGUUCUGUUAGCUGAUAUAUGUAGCCUCCAGUCACAUUCCUCAUGCUUACUUGAUCUAUCAUGACCCUUUCACGUGGACCCCUUAGAGUUGUAAGCCCUUAAAAGGGCUAGGAAUUUCUUUUUGGGGGAGCUUGGCUCUUAAGACAUGAGUCUGCCAAUGCUACCGGCCAAAUAAAAACCUCUUCCUUCUUUAA